AUUAAGGGCGCACGGUGGAUGCCUUGGCACUAGAAGAAGAGGAAGGACGUUACUAACGACGAUAUGCUUUGGGCAGCUGUAAGUAAGCGUUGAUCCAGAGAUUUCCGAAUGGGGGAACCCAGCAUGAGUUAUGUCAUGUUAUCGACAUGUGAAUUUAUAGAAUGUCAGAAGGCAGACCCGGAGAACUGAAACAUCUUAGUACCCGGAGGAAGAGAAAGAAAAAACGAUUCCCUGAGUAGCGGCGUGCGAAACGGGAAGAGCCCAAACCAACAAGCUUGCUUGUUGGGGUUGUAGGACACUCUAUACGGAGUUACAAAAGAACAUGUUAGACGAAUCAUCUGGAAAGAUGAAGCAAAGAAGGUAAUAAUCCUGUAGUCGAAAACAUAUUCUCUCUUGA
RNAcentral lists this ribosomal RNA (397 nucleotides) under Staphylococcus epidermidis. RNAcentral's name for it is "partial 23S ribosomal RNA". It matches the Rfam family "Bacterial large subunit ribosomal RNA", at positions 10 to 400 of the family's 2925-position model. The record is from RNAcentral. Lineage: Bacteria; Bacillati; Bacillota; Bacilli; Caryophanales; Staphylococcaceae.